GCCAGACUCCUACGGGAGGCAGCAGUGGGGAAUAUUGGGCAAUGGGCGCAAGCCUGACCCAGCAACGCCGCGUGAAGGAAGAAGGCUUUCGGGUUGUAAACGUCUUUUCUCAGGGACGAAGCAAGUGACGGUACCUGAGGAAUAAGCCACGGCUAACUACGUGCCAGCAGCCGCGGUAAUACGUAGGUGGCAAGCGUUAUCCGGAUUUACUGGGUGUAAAGGGCGUGUAGGCGGGGACGCAAGUCAGAUGUGAAAACCAUGGGCUCAACCUGCGGCCUGCAUUUGAAACUGUGUUUCUUGAGUACUGGAGAGGCAGACGGAAUUCCUAGUGUAGCGGUGAAAUGCGUAGAUAUUAGGCGGAACACCAGUGGCGAAGGCGGUCUGCUGGACAUCAACUGACGCUGAGGCGCGAAAGCUUGGGGAGCAAAC
This 429-nucleotide ribosomal RNA is filed under the name uncultured bacterium. RNAcentral's name for it is "bacterial SSU rRNA". It matches the Rfam family "Bacterial small subunit ribosomal RNA", at positions 330 to 773 of the family's 1533-position model. The record is from RNAcentral.